UGGACCACAUAACAGUCACAAUGACUGGUGGCAUAUGAGUUGUAGGUGAUGAAAAGAAGUAUCUGAAACACUGAGAUCCAG
This is a small nucleolar RNA of Moschus moschiferus (Siberian musk deer), 81 nucleotides long. Lineage: Eukaryota; Metazoa; Chordata; Mammalia; Artiodactyla; Moschidae. The record is from Ensembl.